AUUGAACGCUGGCGGCAUGCCUUACACAUGCAAGUCGAACGGUAACGCGGGGCAACCUGGCGACGAGUGGCGAACGGGUGAGUAAAGUAUCGGAACGUGCCCAAUAGUGGGGGAUAGCCCGGCGAAAGCCGGAUUAAUACCGCAUGAGACCUGAGGGUGAAAGCGGGGGACUCGCAAGAGCCUCGCGCUGUUGGAGCGGCCGAUAUCAGAUUAGGUAGUUGGUGGGGUAAAGGCCUACCAAGCCGACGAUCUGUAGCUGGUCUGAGAGGACGACCAGCCACACUGGGACUGAGACGACCGGCCAGACUCCGUACGGGAGGCAGCAGGUAGGGGUAAUUUUGGAACAAGU
RNAcentral lists this ribosomal RNA (349 nucleotides) under uncultured bacterium. RNAcentral's name for it is "bacterial SSU rRNA". It matches the Rfam family "Bacterial small subunit ribosomal RNA", at positions 29 to 376 of the family's 1533-position model. The record is from RNAcentral.